Molecule: long non-coding RNA, 304 nt
Organism: Thunnus maccoyii (southern bluefin tuna)
Lineage: Eukaryota; Metazoa; Chordata; Actinopteri; Scombriformes; Scombridae
Exons: 3
Source: RefSeq, a predicted model, not a curated record
CAGACACGAAGAAAAGCACAACUCGUCUUUGUCUGAACAGAGGAAGAUGCGGUUAGAGAAGUUUCUGGGCGUAACCCUCCGUGAAAAAAAAGCUGAUCAGAGUUUGUUCAAUCAACUCUGAGUGAAGCCAUUGACUGUACGUGGUGAAUGAGAGCAGCCAUCAUCAAUGGAGCUCCGAUAGUACGGGUCACCAUGGCAACAGGAAUUAUGUUCCAUCAGUGCGACCAAUCCCAUCAUGAGUGAUCGAGACAAUUAUUCAAUGAUCGUACGUGUCUAAAGCUUCAUACCGAUGUUUUAAAUUUAA